AGCGGGGUAGAGUAAUUGGUCAACUCAUCAAACUCAUGAUUUGAGAAUUAUAGGUUCAAAUCUUGUCCUCGCCU
Molecule: transfer RNA, 74 nt
Filed under: Amborella trichopoda
Lineage: Eukaryota; Viridiplantae; Streptophyta; Magnoliopsida; Amborellales; Amborellaceae
Rfam family: tRNA
About the family: Transfer RNA (tRNA) molecules are approximately 80 nucleotides in length. Their secondary structure includes four short double-helical elements and three loops (D, anti-codon, and T loops). Further hydrogen bonds mediate the characteristic L-shaped molecular structure. tRNAs have two regions of fundamental functional importance: the anti-codon, which is responsible for specific mRNA codon recognition, and the 3' end, to which the tRNAs corresponding amino acid is attached (by aminoacyl-tRNA synthetases). tRNAs cope with the degeneracy of the genetic code in two manners: having more than one tRNA (with a specific anti-codon) for a particular amino acid; and 'wobble' base-pairing, i.e. permitting non-standard base-pairing at the 3rd anti-codon position.
Source: Rfam by way of RNAcentral